GACGGAGGAUGCAAGCGUUAUCCGGAAUGAUUGGGCGUAAAGCGUCCGCAGGUGGCAGUUCAAGUCUGCUGUCAAAGACCGGGGCUUAACUUCGGAAAGGCAGUGGAAACUGAACAGCUAGAGUAUGGUAGGGGCAGAGGGAAUUCCUGGUGUAGCGGUGAAAUGCGUAGAUAUCAGGAAGAACACCCGUGGCUAAGGCGGUUCUCUAGUACGGUACUGACGCUGAGACGCGAAAGCGUGGGGAGCGAACAGG
Molecule: ribosomal RNA, 253 nt
Filed under: uncultured bacterium
Lineage: Bacteria
Description: partial 16S ribosomal RNA
Rfam family: Bacterial small subunit ribosomal RNA
Source: RNAcentral